GGAGAUGUAGGCGGAGUCCCGAUGGGCUGGAGAGGCGGGCGGGCUCUGGAUUAUCGGGAGCCCCUGACUGGGCCGAGCCUCGGUCUGGAGGCCGAUGGAGACGUUUUCGACAUCCUGUUCCAGGCACUGACCAUGCAGCUCUGGCAUCCCAAGACUGACCUUGUGCAAGUAGAAAGUCCACAGUUCCCAGAUGGCCUUCAGAGGCAGCCAUCAUCAGGGGAGUACGACCUUGCUUGUCUGCCAUGUUGACAUCAGCUCCAUGGUUCCUGUCUAGAACUCACCCCUACCUGAGGGACUGGAAGUAGCUACCCUGCUUACCUGCCAGUGGCCCUGGCGCACAGUGCUGAACAGGGGCACUGCCCCUCGGCGGUUUGGCUGGGCCACUGCUGCCCCCUGUUCCAAGAGCAGACGGCACACCUCCAGCUUGCCCCUUCCGGCUGCAGCUGUCAGUGCUAAGGGCAGAGAACACAGACUGAGAACAGAUGUUCCAGUUUAGACUUGGGGGAAAGACAACAAUCAUUUCCUGCAAAGGCCACAAGGAAGAAGCUUCUGUUUCUGUAGUGGAGUUACUUUGAUGGGAGAAAUAUUUAUACCUAACUGCUACAAGAAUCCCAUAAAAGAAGAGAGAGGCCACAACUAUUUUCUGCUCUAGUUUGGCACAUUGUAAGGAAACUUUCAGUCUUUUACAAUUAUUUGGAAACAAGAGCAGGGUAAAGUUUUGGUUGAAAGACGACUCCGGUGCUAAUGAUUUGGAGAAUCCAAAGGGAAAGAGGAUUGGAAGAAGGACAUUGCUUGACUUUUUACUUUGGCUGAAUCAAUCUCCAGUACAAAAACCAUAAGACGGAGACUGCCAAAGGUAUGCCAGAGGAAAAAUCAGGGUGUGAGAUGCAGAGUAUCUCCACACGAACACAACACAUUAAUGAGAAAAGGGAGUAAUGUCCAUGAGAAGUACCUGUCUCUCCCCAGAGACUGUCAAAACUGUUGAUCUGUGCUCGCUCUACUUCUUCUUCAUCUUUUUCUGGAAGAUCAAGUAGGUAGGAGACAAUCUGGAACGAGAAGUUGUGUCAGUUCAAACUUCAGGUGGGAAACUAUGCUACCAGCUCUGGCCUGUGAGGUUUGAAAGAUGCCUGGAUGACCCAAGUGUGACGCAAUCGCUUGCACACAGAAGAAACCAGAACCGACUAUCCCAGCAAAGAAACCCAAAGUGGCCAUGAUGAAUAUUUGUUUUGUCGGGUACAGUUUAUACAUUUCUCUUGAACACAACUCACUUACACAGCAUGUGAUUUUUAAAAAAAUUAUUUAUUCCUCAUCUUUAAGUUAAAGAAGCAAACCCUCAUCCUCCCAAUAAAAAUACCAAUAAAGAGAAAAAAACCAAUCAAUCAGUAAAAACCAGAAAACAAAUAUGGAGAAAAUGUAGGGCCUCUAUUUCAUCAGAGUAGAGCAAUGAUCUUUUUUCUGCUCGGAAGUACAAGGACUGCUUUGGGGAUAAUAAAGGGAGAAUGACUAUUAAUAUUAAAGGAAAGCGACAGCUCUGUUUCCAGGAAUUUACCUGUAGAGAGAGUUUAAAAACCUACAGAUAUUAAAAAUUCCAGUUUUACUUAAUAUUCCCUUGGUGACAUACGAAGUCAGUUGGCAGGGGAGCUGUUUCACUGGUGAGCCAACGUGUUCUGGCCCCUGAAAGCGGAGCAUUACAUUUUCAGGAAUUCUGUAAGCCGGUUAUUAGAUGAAGAUGUUUAUUAAAAAUUAAAUAACAAAUUAUAUUAAAAACAAAGUAAAAAAUAAAA
Molecule: long non-coding RNA, 1784 nt
Organism: Mirounga angustirostris (Northern elephant seal)
Lineage: Eukaryota; Metazoa; Chordata; Mammalia; Carnivora; Phocidae
Exons: 5
Source: RefSeq, a predicted model, not a curated record